CUUUGCCCGAUCACUCCAGUGGAAAGCAGAUGUCGUGAGGUCCAGGCGCUUGAGGAGGAGGCAGCGACGGCAGUAGUACUGAUCUGCCAAGCUUCCGGAGAGAGACUCCAACGCUUUCUGGAAGAAAAGGGCUAGGGCUCCUUUUGGAAAGAAGAGCCAAGGAAGACGGGGUGGCUCCGGUCUCUACCUUGGGGCGUCACCGAGCUGGAGUCCAGCAGGGGGCGCAAGCACAAGAGGCGGGCAGCCUGGAGCUCAGAGCAGAGAAAGCCUGGAAACAGGAAAGGGAUCCGUGCAGGUGCAGCGGAGGUGGACUGUGCACCGCCACCUUCCAGCCCUGCCCACCUGGAACACUGGCUCCGCCUCCAGAAGAAGCUUCACCCACUAGAGGCCGGGUGUCCCCCGAUUUCGACUCCCGCCCACUUCAAAACAACCUGCGCUGCUCCAUCUAACUCAACCCACUGGCGCUUCCAGAGUCUUUCGUCAAAAUUCUAGCCCUGCCCACGUCGGGGCUCUCGGCCCGCCCCAGCGCUGACCCCACCCACUUCGGACCCUCUGGCCCGCCCUAAAAUUCUGACCACGCCUCCCUGGGAACCCGGGCCCGCCCUCUCCGGAGCCCUAGCCUCGCCCACUCUCGCAUCCCGGGGCCGCCGCGGCUCACGCAGCAGGCGCAGGCCGGCGCCGGGUUCCUGCAACGCGGCCUCGCGGCCUUCCCCGCAGAGCGCGCGAUCCGGGCAGUGCAACGCCCGCAGCAGUCCCGCCAACUGCCGCAGGAAUCCCUCGUCCGCGCCGGGGCCUGCAGGAGGAGGGAGGAGUCAGGGCGCGGCCGAGCCCGCGGCUCCCCGCCUCCCGCCCCGCGGCUCUGUCCGCACCGUUGCCGACGCUUAGCACUUCUGCACCCUCCUCUCGCGGCUCCUCCAGAGUGCCCAGUGUCACCAGCUCCGCUGCCAGCCGCGCGCACAGCGCCCUGAAGCCUGGGCAUGAGGGGCCCCUUGAUGCCACCUCCGGAAAGUCCCCAUACCUGCGGCGGGGGGUGGGUCAGCGAUUCCCUCUCCGUCAGAGUCCUGAGUUAAAACGCUCUCCUGUCCCCCAGCCACACCACACACCGCCUUACCCCAGAGCUCGCAGGUCCCGGGCCACUGCGGCCCCCUCCUGCGCUUCUGCCUCCGCCCCCUCCAUGGAAAAGUCGCCUUGGUGCCGGACUCGCGCCCCCUUCCGGCCGGUGGCAGGCUCCGCCCCAGGAGCGCCGCGCGCACCGCCACCCGACCGCGCAGGGUGGCGGCCCCGGCCCGUCAGCCUCUUGUCGAGAAAGGACUUCAGCUCCAAUUGGCGCAGAAGGAGGCAGAACCCGCCCCCAAGUCCGCCCUCACCGCCCUUCAGGUAACCUGUCAGGGCUGUAAAUUCCAGAGCGUUGGCUCAGGAUCCCAGCUGUCGCGACAAGCUAGUAAGUGUCUCUACUGUGGCUACAUAAAAGCAGUUUGGGCUUCCUUUUUCUCAGUCUCCCUUGGUGGCCUUUUGAUCUUAAUGCACUGCAGUCCAGAUUUUUCACACUUCACACAACUCCCGUCUCAAAUCCAGAACCUUGCUUCCUCCUCUUCCUUAUGAAUGAAGUCAAAGAUCUAGCCAUUUCAGCUAACCUCUCACACCCGCUCCCCCACCUAGGCCCUCCUCAGCUAUCCCAAUGUGCCCUUAGGCCCUCAACCCCCACUUCUCUGGGCCUUUGAAUGAUGGAGCUGGGGCAAUCCAUGGCCUUCGUGAAUAAGAGAUUGCACCCAAGGAGGCAGGCAGACAGGAUUAGGGUUUGACUCUGCCCCUCACCGGUUCCUGCCAAACUGCUUCCCAUCUGUAUAAUAGGGAUAAUAAUAGUACCUACUCUUAAGAGUUGUUUAUGAGAAUUAAUUAGUCCUUAUGUAAAAAGCACAUGAGGGUACUCAAUUAAGAAUAACAACUAUGGCAUUGAGUAAUUCAGUUGUGCUACUAGGCUAAGUAUCUUAUCCCCGUUUUACAUAGAAGAUUCAGAGAAUGUAAGUUACUUGGUGAAUUUAUGGUGGGUACCAAGACUCAAAGAUCUAAUUCCAGAUUCCAUGCUUUUAAACUCCUGAGCCUGUUAUUGCUGCUGCUGAUUUUGUUCCUGUCGUUAAACAUCAUAGUUCCAGUUCUUAUCUCUGAUUGUCCUCCUUCUCUGGAAGUAGAUGUGAGUUGGGAGCCCCAGGAUAGAACAAGGGUCAGAAAUGGUCCCUGCAGAGACCUGCCUACCCCAAGACAGGGCACUUAGGGGAGACAUCUGUUGCACUAAAUAAAACAUUAAAAAUUG
Molecule: non-coding RNA, 2311 nt
Organism: Ictidomys tridecemlineatus (thirteen-lined ground squirrel)
Lineage: Eukaryota; Metazoa; Chordata; Mammalia; Rodentia; Sciuridae
Source: RefSeq, a predicted model, not a curated record